Molecule: ribosomal RNA, 485 nt
Filed under: uncultured bacterium
Lineage: Bacteria
Description: partial 16S ribosomal RNA
Rfam family: Bacterial small subunit ribosomal RNA
Source: RNAcentral
GACGAACGCUGGCGGCGUGCUUAACACAUGCAAGUCGAACGGUGAAAGCGGAGCUUGCUCCGCUGGAUCAGUGGCGAACGGGUGAGUAACACGUGGGCAACCUGCCCCUCACUUCGGGAUAACUCCGGGAAACCGGGGCUAAUACCGGAUAUGACCUCCUUGGGCAUCCUUGGAGGUGGAAAGUUUUUCGGUGAGGGAUGGGCCCGCGGCCUAUCAGCUUGUUGGUGAGGUAGUGGCUCACCAAGGCGACGCCGGGUAGCCGGCCUGAGAGGGCGACCGGCCACACUGGGACUGGGACACGGACCAGACUCCUACGGGAGGCAACAGUGGGGAAUAUUGCGCAAUGGGCGAAAGCCUGACGCAGCAACGCCGCGUGCGGGAUGACGGCCUUCGGGUUGUAAACCGCUUUCAGCAGGGAAGAAGCCGCAAGGUGACGGUACCUGCAGAAGAAGCACCGGCUAACUACGUGCCAGCCGCCGCCGUAA